GACGAACGCUGGCGGCGUGCUUAACACAUGCAAGUCGAACGGGAUUUAGUAGACAGAAGCCUCGGCUAAAGAUUACUAAUGAGAGUGGCGAACGGGUGAGUAACGCGUGAGCAACCUGCCUAUGACAGUGGGAUAGCCUCGGGAAACCGGGAUUAAUACCGCAUAAAAUCGUAGAAACACAUGUUUCAACGGUCAAAGAUUUAUCGGUCAUAGAUGGGCUCGCGUCUGAUUAGCUAGUUGGUGAGAUAACAGCCCACCAAGGCGACGAUCAGUAGCCGGUCUGAGAGGAUGAACGGCCACAUUGGAACUGAGACACGGUCCAAACUCCUACGGGAAGCAGCAGUGGGGAAUAUUGCACAAUGGGGGAAACCCUGAUGCAGCGACGCCGCGUGAACGAAGAAGGUAUUCGUAUCGUAAAGUUCUGUCCUAUGGGAAGAUAAUGACAGUACCAUAGAAGAAAGCUCCGGCUAAAUACGUG
This 478-nucleotide ribosomal RNA is filed under the name uncultured bacterium. RNAcentral's name for it is "partial 16S ribosomal RNA". It matches the Rfam family "Bacterial small subunit ribosomal RNA", at positions 28 to 507 of the family's 1533-position model. The record is from RNAcentral.